Molecule: ribosomal RNA, 484 nt
Filed under: uncultured bacterium
Lineage: Bacteria
Description: partial 16S ribosomal RNA
Rfam family: Bacterial small subunit ribosomal RNA
Source: RNAcentral
AUUGAACGCUGGCGGCAGGCCUAACACAUGCAAGUCGAGCGGAUGAAGGGAGCUUGCUCCUGGAUUCAGCGGCGGACGGGUGAGUAAUGCCUAGGAAUCUGCCUGGUAGUGGGGGAUAACGUCUGGAAACGGGCGCUAAUACCGCAUACGUCCUGAGGGAGCAAGUGGGGGAGCUUCGGACCUCAUGCUCUCAGAUGAGCCUAGGUCGGAUUAGCUAGUUGGUGGGGUAAUGGCCUACCAAGCCGACGAUCCGCAACUGGCCUGAUAGGGUGAUCAGUCGCACUGGAACUGGGACACGGUCAAGACGCCUAAGAGAGGCCGCAGUGGGGAAUAUUGGGCAGUGGGGGAAAGUAUUGUCCAGCGAUGCCGCGUGUGUGAAGGAGGUCUUCGGAUUGUAAAGAAGUUUAAGUUGGGAGGAAGGGCAGUAAGUUAAUACCUAGCUGUUUUGACGUUACCGACAGAAUAAGCACCGGCUAACUUCGUG